Molecule: transfer RNA, 75 nt
Filed under: Clostridiales bacterium
Lineage: Bacteria; Bacillati; Bacillota; Clostridia; Eubacteriales
Description: tRNA-Arg
Rfam family: tRNA
About the family: Transfer RNA (tRNA) molecules are approximately 80 nucleotides in length. Their secondary structure includes four short double-helical elements and three loops (D, anti-codon, and T loops). Further hydrogen bonds mediate the characteristic L-shaped molecular structure. tRNAs have two regions of fundamental functional importance: the anti-codon, which is responsible for specific mRNA codon recognition, and the 3' end, to which the tRNAs corresponding amino acid is attached (by aminoacyl-tRNA synthetases). tRNAs cope with the degeneracy of the genetic code in two manners: having more than one tRNA (with a specific anti-codon) for a particular amino acid; and 'wobble' base-pairing, i.e. permitting non-standard base-pairing at the 3rd anti-codon position.
Source: RNAcentral
GUCCCCGUGGCCUAAUGGAUAAGGUAAAGGAUUCCGGUUCCUUUGAUGCGGGUUCGAUUCCUGCCGGGGACGCCA